Molecule: ribosomal RNA, 557 nt
Filed under: Pseudonocardia sp.
Lineage: Bacteria; Bacillati; Actinomycetota; Actinomycetes; Pseudonocardiales; Pseudonocardiaceae
Description: bacterial SSU rRNA
Rfam family: Bacterial small subunit ribosomal RNA
Source: RNAcentral
UUGUUGGAGAGUUUGAUCCUGGCUCAGGACGAACGCUGGCGGCGUGCUUAACACAUGCAAGUCGAGCGGUAAGGCCCUUUCGGGGGUACACGAGCGGCGAACGGGUGAGUAACACGUGGGUGACCUGCCCUCAGCUCUGGGAUAAGCCCGGGAAACUGGGUCUAAUACCGGAUAUUCUCUUCUCCUCGCAUGGGGGGUUGUGGAAAGUCCUGGGCUUUAUUGUCUGGGUUCGGCUGGGGAUGGGCCCGCGGCCUAUCAGCUUGUUGGUGGGGUGAUGGCCUACCAAGGCGACGACGGGUAGCCGGCCUGAGAGGGCGACCGGCCACACUGGGACUGAGACACGGCCCAGACUCCUACGGGAGGCAGCAGUGGGGAAUAUUGCGCAAUGGGCGGAAGCCUGACGCAGCGACGCCGCGUGGGGGAUGACGGCCUUCGGGUUGUAAACCUCUUUCGACCUUGACGAAGGCUUCUGGGUUAAUGUCUGGGGGUUGACGGUAGGGGUAGAAGAAGCACCGGCCAACUACGUGCCAGCAGCCGCGGUAAUACGUAGGGUGCGA